UACGGAGGGGGCUAGCGUUGUUCGGAAUUACUGGGCGUAAAGCGCACGUAGGCGGAUUGGAAAGUUGGGGGUGAAAUCCCAGGGCUCAACCCUGGAACUGCCUUCAAAACUCCCAGUCUGGAGGUCGAGAGAGGUGAGUGGAAUUCCGAGUGUAGAGGUGAAAAUUCGUAGAUAUUCGCAAGAACACCAGUGGCGAAGGCGGCUCACUGGCCCGAUACUGACGCUGAGGCACGAAAGCGUGGGGAGCAAACAGG
Molecule: ribosomal RNA, 254 nt
Filed under: uncultured bacterium
Lineage: Bacteria
Description: partial 16S ribosomal RNA
Rfam family: Bacterial small subunit ribosomal RNA
Source: RNAcentral